CUGGAUGUAGAUUGUAGUGUGGUUCUCUU
RNAcentral lists this non-coding RNA (29 nucleotides) under Cricetulus griseus (Chinese hamster). Lineage: Eukaryota; Metazoa; Chordata; Mammalia; Rodentia; Cricetidae. The record is from RNAcentral.